ACGACCCCUGCCGGACAGUCCGGAUGAAGGCCCGGACGGUCCGCCGCUCCUCUGCUUCGGCGGGUGAUGCACGCGUCGCACGAGUCCACGCGUCGGCCAUCCUCGUCCCCGUGCCGUGUGUCGGGCGUCGCCGCCGACGAACCUCGUUCCGCGCAUCCUUAUCCGCGCCGAGUCCGCUCGCUCGCCCUCUCCGUCUCCUUUUCGACCGGCUCCAAACCCUAGCUCCCGUUCCCCUCUACCAUUGGCGCCGGCCCGAGCUCCUUGCCGCCGCCGAUUCGCCGCCCUCGGGCCUCCUCGCCGAGCGAUGCCAUCACUCCUCGCUGGGCUGCCUCCCUGCUGCGUUGUUUCUCCGUUUGUGCCGUGGGUGAGAUGGCAUGAACUGGAUGCUCCCUUCCCUUCCUCGUGCGCAUGCCUGUGAUCUAGAUUCCUGGUACUCUCUUUUGCCGCUGCUCUGAAUCACAGCAGCCUGCUAGUCGACCCUCAUCUCUGUGCGUGCGUGUUGUGGAGCAGAGAAGAUGAACAGUGGAAGCUAAUAGCAAAUCCAUGUUGUACUUGUGUGUGUUUGAGUUUGCAAAAAUCAUAGUAAAAUAAAUAUAGAUCCAGAAAUAGUGAAA
Long non-coding RNA from Panicum virgatum (switchgrass), 614 nucleotides. RefSeq lists it as uncharacterized. The transcript has 2 exons. The record is from RefSeq and is a predicted model, not a curated record. Lineage: Eukaryota; Viridiplantae; Streptophyta; Magnoliopsida; Poales; Poaceae.